GAUGAAGAACGCAGCGAAAUGCGAUAAGUAAUGUGAAUUGCAGAAUUCAGUGAAUCAUCGAAUCUUUGAACGCACCUUGCGCCCUUUGGCCAUUCCGAAGGGCAUGCCUGUUUGAGUAUCAUGAACACCUCAACUCUCAUGGCUUGCCAUGAUGAGCUUGGACUUUGGGGGUCUUGCUGGCCUGUGGUCGGCUCCUCUCAAAUGAAUCAGCUUGCCAGUGUUUGGUGGCAUCACAAGUGUGAUAACUAUCUGCGCUCGUGGUUUCCAUCAGAUAACCUCCAGUGAUGGAGGUUCGCUGGAGCUCAUAAAUGUUUCUCCUAAGCGAGGACAGCUCUUUUAAUGUUUGAUCUCAAAUCAGGUAGGACUACCCGCUGAACUUAAGCAUAUCAAUAAGCGGAGGA
Molecule: unclassified non-coding RNA, 401 nt
Filed under: soil metagenome
Description: partial contains 5.8S ribosomal RNA, internal transcribed spacer 2, and large subunit ribosomal RNA
Rfam family: 5.8S ribosomal RNA (bases 1-121)
Source: RNAcentral